AGCUGGGACACAGGGGAAAGGAUGGAGACUCUGAACGGCAAAGGGAAAUGAAAGAGGCCUGGCUGAGCAGGCCAAGGAGGGUUGGUGGUACUCGGUCUUUAGCCCCUGAGAGUGACUGUUAGCCUUUGUGGGAGGCUUUAUUGGGGUCCAGGAAGAAGGGAGGGAGCUUGGUUCUGAGGAGAGUGGGGAAGGACAGAGGGGAAGGGACAGACACAGGUAGGAAUCUGCUAAGACAUAGGAUCCCAUGAGACACAGAAGGUGUAUCUGUGUGUGCUUGGAGAGGUUCUGAGCCCCUGACUUUCCACCACAGAGUCAGCCCUGGGGGAGAGGCAGACUGGUAGGCAAGAACGCUGUUGACUUCUUCAUUUGCUUUAACUGAGAGUUGGAUGGCCCCGAGGGAGGAAAGUUGAUGCCUUUACAAUGCAUUGCUGUGCGAGGACGGCUUGGCUAAGGACGGGCUGCAGAUAUGAGAACAGUUCCCCAAAGCUACAAGAGACAGAGUCCUGGUGCCAGGAAAGGUCACCACACUGUAUGCUCAUGCUUGUGAUGCUGCUGGUGUGUGCCAGCCUCCCAGCCUGCCAACUGUACACAGGUAUAGCAGUGUAGCUGAGUAUAGGUCUGCAGUAUAGAACACUUGAUAACAGCUGGCUUUUGACUGUAUAGUCACUCUAUUUAUUUAUUUAUUUAUUUAUUUAUUUAUUUAUUUAUUUAUUUAUGUUGAUGUUUUGACAUAGUAUCUUUCAUAGCUUGGACUGGCCUCGAUACUGUAAUCAAGGAUGACUUUCGAAUCUCUUUCUGACUUUACCUCCUGUGGUGGCUAGAAUAGGGUUAGUCCCUGUAGACUCAUGGAUUUGAAUGUUUGACCCAUAGGGAGUGGCUAUGCUUCCCACCAUGAUGAUAAUGAACUGAACCUCAGAAACUAAGUCAGCCCCAAUUAAAUCUUUGCCUUUAUAAGAGUUAACCUUGGUUAUGAUGUCUCUUCCCAGCAAUAAAACUCAAACCAAGUCUGUCAUACCUGGUUUAUAUGUUGUUAGGGAUUGAAUCCAGGGGCCCUGUACAUGUUGGGUGGGCACUCUACGUACAUCUCCAGCCCUGUUUUUGUUUUUGAGAUGGAGUCCCAUACUAUAGCUCAGGCUGGCCUUGAACCCUCAAUCUUCUUCCCUUAGCCUUUAGAAUGUUGGGAUUACACAGAUAAAUCACUAUGCCAGGGUCAUAUUUUCUUUCUUUCUUGGCAUCAUAAAAAGAGGCCAUGUUUUGAGAGCAUAGUGGUGGAUGUCUGCUAUUCCAGUAGUCAGGAUGCCAAGGCCAGAGAACUGUAGCAAGUUCAAGGCCAGUUUAGGCUGCCUGGUGAGUUCAAGAUUAGUCUGGGGGGCUGGAGAAAUUGCUCAGCAGUUAAGAGGAUUUGUUGCAGAACCAAUUUGGAUUUGGUUCUAGAUUUUUUUUUUCUAGUCUUGGGGAUUGAGCCUAGGGCUUCUCACACUUAAGGCAAGUGCUCUUCUACUGAGCUAUAUCCCCAAGGCAGGACCUGUGUUCAGUUCUCAGUUAUCAUGUCAGGUGGCUAGCUGGCUCACAACCUCUUAUAACUCCAGGGGAUCAGAUGCCUUCUUUUGGUCUCUGUGGACACACACCUUAUUAGAUUAGCUGGGGCUGUAGAGUUAGGCCAUGUCUCAAAAAAUACUACUAAUAAAGAGACCAUGU
This 1698-nucleotide long non-coding RNA is filed under the name Mus musculus (house mouse). RNAcentral describes it as "long non-coding RNA chr1:133829527-133831225". Lineage: Eukaryota; Metazoa; Chordata; Mammalia; Rodentia; Muridae. The record is from RNAcentral.